CCUACGGGUGGCAGCAGUGAGGAAUAUUGGUCAAUGGGCGCGAGCCUGAACCAGCCAAGUCGCGUGAGGGAAGACGGUCCUAUGGAUUGUAAACUUCUUUUGUCGGGGAGCAAAAGACUCCACGCGUGGCGUUCCGAGAGUACCCGAAGUAAAAGCAUCGGCUAACUUCGUUCCAGCAGCCGCGGCAAGACGGUGGAUGCGAGCGUAAUCCGGAUUUAUUGGGUUUAAAGGGUGCGCAGGCGGAAGAUCAAGUCAGCGGUAAAAUUGAGAGGCUCAACCUCUUCGAGCCGUUGAAACUGGUUUGCUUGAGUGAGUGAGAAGUAUGCGGAAUGCGUGGUGUAGCGGUGAAAUGCAUAGAUAUCACGCGGAACUCCGAUGGCGAAGGCAGCAUACCGGCGCUCAACUGACGCUCAUGCACGAAAGUGUGGGUAUCAAACAGGAUUAGAUACCCUAGUAGUC
Molecule: ribosomal RNA, 459 nt
Filed under: uncultured bacterium
Lineage: Bacteria
Description: partial 16S ribosomal RNA
Rfam family: Bacterial small subunit ribosomal RNA
Source: RNAcentral